This is a non-coding RNA of Manis javanica (Malayan pangolin), 1371 nucleotides long. NCBI's taxonomy places the organism in Eukaryota, Metazoa, Chordata, Mammalia, Pholidota, Manidae. The record is from RefSeq and is a predicted model, not a curated record.
CCCGCGGCCCUAGUCACGAUUCAGUGACGUCAUGUUCUCGCGUCUUUUUCUCUUGUCCCGCUCCAUAGUGAGAUAAGAGGCUGGACUUUACCAAACGGGACUUGAGAAGGGCGGGGGCGCCUAAGCGCCCCGCGUGUGGCCGGGAAGGUGGAAUCCUUGAAUUGUUAGGUGGGAAAAGGGGCGCAUUUGACUGAGGCAGGGCCUUGGCCUUCUAGUGAGGCUUGAAGUCUGAAACGAAAGGAAAGCGGGUCCGGCAAACCCAAAAACUUGGGCAGGGCUUUGAGGGAAGGAUUACCUGUGGUUUAGGAGACCAGUCCUCUCAUUUGUAACUGCUGAGAGAGUAAAAAAGUCUGCCCAGCCAUUCAUCAGGCUGGAUAGCAGAAUCUGAUAAAGCCUAUUGUAAUGUUACCAGGAAACACUGUUUCAUUCAAGGACAAAACGCAACUGAAAAAUAAGAGUAACAGCCCCCAUCUCUGGGUGAGAACUACAUUCUUCCACUCUGAGAAAUCUCGUUCUUUGAAGUCCAUAUAAGUGAAAUCAUAUGAUACUUGUCUUCCUCUGCCCGGCUAAUUUCACUGAGCAUACCUUCUAGCUCCAUCCAUGUUGUUGCAAAUGCAGUUCCUCCACAGUACCCUGGGACAGGAUGUCUUAUGCAUCUUUCUACAAAAUAAUCUUUCUGCAUUCUCUCUGACCCUGAGACUCAGAAAAUAGGGAGAACAAAAAAGAAACUGCCACCUGUUAACGGUAAGUUUUGGGGGCUUCUUGAACUCAUUUUCAAGUUAGUGUUAAAUUUUAAACCCAGGAGUUUAAUUCAGUUUUUCUUUGUUACAAGCCUAUCAAAACUCUUGCAUUAAAAUUUUUCCUGAAUUCCAUCUUCCCCACAAAUCCUGCAGUAUCUUUUCUUUCCGAAGUGAGACACCCUACAGUUCAUCUGGUGUGCAGUCUUCUUAGUUGCAAUGAAUCAAUAAACCUGACAUUGGAUUGUGUAGGAUCUAAGCAUUCAGUGAAGACAACAGGUUAGCCUGUUAGCCUAAGUACAGCCAUCUUGAGAAGCUCAGAGGCCAUUUUCUGAAUAUGUGACUCAGAAAGGCCUUGAAAAACGAGGUGAAAAACAAGUUAAUCAUAAACACCAGGUGGUGGGCAGCUGCGGCCUUCAGACAGCUAACCUUGGUCAGUUAGUCAUACAUACCAAGCUUAUCUUGCUGAAACACUGUAUGGCUGAGGGUGUUCUUAUCUCGUGAAACCCCUGGGAUGUGGCGCCAACCGAAGAUUUAUGCGUCCUUGGGAAAAAAAACCCUGUUACGUGCUUGUAGAACAAUACUGUCUUUUUAGAAAAUGCUAUAAAAACCUCCAGCUUUGACUGCUCGGGGU